ACGGCUCAGUAACACGUGGAUAAUCUGCCCUAAGGUCAGGCAUAACACCGGGAAACUGGUGAUAAUUCCUGAUAUACCAUAGAUACUGGAAUGUUCUGUGGUCAAAAGCUCCGGCGCCUUAGGAUGAAUCUGCGGCCUAUCAGGUUGUAGUGGGUGUAACGUACCUACUAGCCGACGACGGGUACGGGUUGUGAGAGCAAGAGCCCGGAGAUGGAUUCUGAGACAUGAAUCCAGGCCCUACGGGGCGCAGCAGGCGCGAAAACUUUACAAUGCGGGAAACCGCGAUAAGGGGACACUGAGUGCCAGCAUACAAUGUUGGCUGUCCGCAUGUAUAAAUAGCAUGUGUUAGCAAGGGCCGGGCAAGACCGGUGCCAGCCGCCGCGGUAACACCGGCGGCCCGAGUGGUGGCCACUAUUAUUGGGUCUAAAGGGUCCGUAGCCGGUUUGAUCAGUCUUCCGGGAAAUCUGACAGCUCAACUGUUAGGCUUCCGGGGGAUACUGUCAGACUUGGGACCGGGAGAGGUAAGAGGUACUACAGGGGUAGGAGUGAAAUCUUGUAAUCCUUGUGGGACCACCAGUGGCGAAGGCGUCUUACCAGAACGGGUCCGACGGUGAGGGACGAAAGCUGGGGGCACGAACCGGAUUAGAUACCCGGGUAGUCCCAGCCGUAAACGAUGCUCGCUAGGUGUCUGGGAUGGUGCGACCGUUUCAGGUGCCGCAGGGAAGCCGUGAAGCGAGCCACCUGGGAAGUACGGCCGCAAGGCUGAAACUUAAAGGAAUUGGCGGGGGAG
RNAcentral lists this ribosomal RNA (790 nucleotides) under uncultured Methanolobus sp. RNAcentral's name for it is "bacterial SSU rRNA". It matches the Rfam family "Archaeal small subunit ribosomal RNA", at positions 85 to 876 of the family's 1478-position model. Lineage: Archaea; Methanobacteriati; Methanobacteriota; Methanomicrobia; Methanosarcinales; Methanosarcinaceae. The record is from RNAcentral.